UACGUAGGUGGCAAGCGUUAUCCGGAUUUAUUGGGCGUAAAGCGAGUGCAGGCGGUUUCUUAAGUCUGAUGUGAAAGCCUUCGGCUUAACCGAAGAAAUGCAUUGGAAACUGGGGAACUUGAGUGCAGAAGAGGAGAGUGGAACUCCAUGUGUAGCGGUGAAAUGCGUAGAUAUAUGGAAGAACACCAGUGGCGAAGGCGGCUCUCUGGUCUGUAACUGACGCUGAGGCUCGAAAGCGUGGGUAGCAAAC
Molecule: ribosomal RNA, 250 nt
Filed under: uncultured bacterium
Lineage: Bacteria
Description: partial 16S ribosomal RNA
Rfam family: Bacterial small subunit ribosomal RNA
Source: RNAcentral